Molecule: ribosomal RNA, 446 nt
Filed under: uncultured bacterium
Lineage: Bacteria
Description: partial 16S ribosomal RNA
Rfam family: Bacterial small subunit ribosomal RNA
Source: RNAcentral
CCUACGGGGGGCAGCAGUCGAGAAUCAUUCACAAUGGGGGAAACCCUGAUGGUGCGACGCCGCGUGGGGGAAUGAAGGUCUUCGGAUUGUAAACCCCUGUCAUGUGGGAGCAAAUUAAAAAGAUAGUACCACAAGAGGAAGAGACGGCUAACUCUGUGCCAGCAGCCGCGGUAAUACAGAGGUCUCAAGCGUUGUUCGGAAUCACUGGGCGUAAAGCGUGCGUAGGCUGUUUCGUAAGGCGUGUGUGAAAGGCGCGGGCUCAACCCGCGGACGGCACAUGAUACUGCGAGACUAGAGUAAGGGAGGGGGAACCGGAAUGCUCGGUGGAGCAGUGAAAUGCGUAGAUAUCGAGAGGAACACUCGUGGCGAAGGCGGGUUCCUGGACAUUAACUGACGCUGAGGCACGAAGGCCAGGGGAGCGAAAGGGAUUAGAUACCCGAGUAGUC